AAGACUUUGUGAAAGGGAAAGUAGCUGAGCUAGACCUUGAAGAAUAAAUAAGGGUUGGGGAUGCAGUUGGAUUCAAGAGACAAAGUUGUAAAGGCACAAGGCAACAAGGACAAACAUGUUUGGAGAUUGAAGAGAUGGUUGUUUGGCUGAGUCUGUGGAAAAUUAGAGGGAGAGAGUUAAGAAAAGGAAUUGAGGAGGCUCAUGGUAGAACCAGAGACAGUGCACUUUGUUUUCUUCAUAGGCAAUGAGGAAGAUGAAUGAUGUGAUACAGAACUGUGCCUGGGUCAAAGGUAUACAGCCUGGUGGCAGUAUAUAAGCUGGGUUGGACAAAUGAUUGGCUGAAGGCCAGGGAAUGAGUUAAGGGGCUGGUACAGGAGGUCUAAGCUGGAGGUGAGAAGGGCCAGACAGACAGGGCUGGUAGAACAUGGAAAGCAAGGGGCAAAUGAUAUUCAAAGAAAAAAAAAAGAGGUAUUUGCUACAGAAUGGACUGAUGGGUAUAGUGGAUACAGCGAUGGCUGAGGUUUUUAAAACCCAGUGACAAAGAAUAUGAGAGUGUCACAAAUGGAAAAAGAAGCUGGUGUGCAUGGGCAGAUAAUGAGUUGUUUUCUACUUGUCAGGUCUGAGGUGCUGCUGGUGGGACAUUGAAGUGGAAGCAUCCCACAGCUGGAAAUUUGGAACUGGAGGUCUGGAAAGAGGACAUUGGUUUGACAGUCACUCAUGGAUGAAAGUACUUUUGUGGGAGUCCAGAAGUCCAGUGAGGAAGUUCCAGCAUUCUUUUGGAUCAAAAAAAAAAUCAGAGAUUGGGUGCAUUGAAGAGGGAAGCAGCUUCUGACCCUCAGCGGUGCUGACCAGGGAGGCAGUAGUGGCCGGAAAAGCAGAAAAGAACAAAAGACUGACCAUCCUCAAGCAAGAGGGAAUUCUGUCAACAGACGGCAUUUGCAACAUGGGUUCUUCCCUGGGUUUCCAUACGGAUGACCUUCAAACUGGAAAUGCAACAUGGGAUUUUCUCUGGAUCUCCAGACUGCCAGCUUAUCCUGCAAAUUUUGGAUUUGGCAGUCUCCAUGAUCAUGUAGCCAAUUACUCAAAAUAAAUCUAUACAUAAAUA
Long non-coding RNA from Felis catus (domestic cat), 1105 nucleotides. RefSeq lists it as uncharacterized. The record is from RefSeq and is a predicted model, not a curated record. NCBI's taxonomy places the organism in Eukaryota, Metazoa, Chordata, Mammalia, Carnivora, Felidae. The transcript has 4 exons.